UACGGAGGGUGCAAGCGUUAAUCGGAAUUACUGGGCGUAAAGCGCACGCAGGCGGUUUGUUAAGUCAGAUGUGAAAUCCCCGAGCUUAACUUGGGAACUGCAUUUGAAACUGGCAAGCUAGAGUCUUGUAGAGGGGGGUAGAAUUCCAGGUGUAGCGGUGAAAUGCGUAGAGAUCUGGAGGAAUACCGGUGGCGAAGGCGGCCCCCUGGACAAAGACUGACGCUCAGGUGCAAAAGCGUGGGGAGCAAACAGG
Molecule: ribosomal RNA, 253 nt
Filed under: uncultured bacterium
Lineage: Bacteria
Description: partial 16S ribosomal RNA
Rfam family: Bacterial small subunit ribosomal RNA
Source: RNAcentral